RNAcentral lists this ribosomal RNA (467 nucleotides) under uncultured bacterium. Its description in RNAcentral is "partial 16S ribosomal RNA". It matches the Rfam family "Bacterial small subunit ribosomal RNA", at positions 28 to 507 of the family's 1533-position model. The record is from RNAcentral.
GACGAACGCUGGCGGCGUGCUUAACACAUGCAAGUCGAACGGAAAGGCCUCUUUCGGGGGGUACUCGAGUGGCGAACGGGUGAGUAACACGUGAGUAACCUGCCCUUGACUUUGGGAUAACUUCAGGAAACUGGGGCUAAUACCGGAUAGGAGCUCCUGCUGCAUGGUGGGGGUUGGAAAGUUUCGGCGGUUGGGGAUGGACUCGCGGCUUAUCAGCUUGUUGGUGGGGUAGUGGCUUACCAAGGCUUUGACGGGUAGCCGGCCUGAGAGGGUGACCGGCCACAUUGGGACUGAGAUACGGCCCAGACUCCGACGGGAGGCAGCAGUGGGGAAUAUUGAACAAUGGGUGGAAGCCUGAUGCAGCAACGCCGUGUGCGGGAUGACGGCCUUCGGGUUGUAAACCGCUUUCGCUCAUGACGAAGCUUUGUGUGACGGUAGUGGGUAAAGAAGCACCGGCUAACUACGUG